UCUAGCAUGUACCGCACAUCCGAGUGGUACAUAAUUCUGAAUUUAUUUUUCUGGUUCCAAAAGCUCCGGGAUAUUUCAUGCCCAUUUCAAUUCUUUCCUCCGGUUUUUUCCUGAUUGACCACCUUUUAUUUUUUUUGUCCUAAAGAAAUCUGAAUUUCAAUAUAUAAACUCCUAAAUUUUGCCAAAUGCGUUUUGUUUUCCAAUAGGACUUCCAUGUGUGCAAAAUCACCACGAUGAUUUGUCAUCCAAAUCCAUCUUGAACUUUUUUUAUUGAACAUGCACGCGAAUGUUAAUAAAAUUAAAUAUUUAUUUUAUCACGGGAGA
This 324-nucleotide long non-coding RNA is filed under the name Brachypodium distachyon (stiff brome). RNAcentral describes it as "long non-coding RNA (BDIS_LNC000560)". The record is from RNAcentral. Lineage: Eukaryota; Viridiplantae; Streptophyta; Magnoliopsida; Poales; Poaceae.